RNAcentral lists this ribosomal RNA (440 nucleotides) under uncultured bacterium. Its description in RNAcentral is "bacterial SSU rRNA". It matches the Rfam family "Bacterial small subunit ribosomal RNA", at positions 338 to 770 of the family's 1533-position model. The record is from RNAcentral.
CCUACGGGAGGCAGCAGUGGGGAAUCUUGCGCAAUGCGCGAAAGCGUGACGCAGCAACGCCGCGUGAGGGAAGACGGCCUUCGGGUUGUAAACCUCUUUCAGGAGGGACGAAGCGUGUCUGGUGAAUAGCCAGUUCACGUGACGGUACCUCCACAAGAAGCCCCGGCUAACUACGUGCCAGCAGCCGCGGUAAUACGUAGGGGGCAAGCGUUGUCCGGAAUCAUUGGGCGUAAAGAGCGCGUAGGCGGCCCAGUAAGUCCGCUCUGAAAGUCAGGGGCUCAACCCCUGGAUGCGGGUGGAUACUGCUGGGCUAGAGUCCGGAAGAGGCGAGUGGAAUUCCUGGUGUAGCGGUGAAAUGCGCAGAUAUCAGGAGGAACACCGAUGGCGAAGGCAGCUCGCUGGGACGGUACUGACGCUGAGGCGCGAAAGCGUGGGGAGCA